Panicum virgatum (switchgrass) is the source of this 1885-nucleotide long non-coding RNA. RefSeq lists it as uncharacterized. The record is from RefSeq and is a predicted model, not a curated record. The transcript has 3 exons. Lineage: Eukaryota; Viridiplantae; Streptophyta; Magnoliopsida; Poales; Poaceae.
UGCAUUUCUAUAUAUUAAUUGUGCACCGCUCGGCCACCUCUCAGGCCAUCCACGAUAGCAAAAACAAUUUCGUCCGUUUGAUCUGCAUCCUUCGGUGGCUAUCUCCUCCGCUAGUUCACCGGCUGCCGUAAAAAAAAAAUCUCCUUUUGUGAAGCAUCCGGCAGGCCGAAGCUCCGCCCAACCUCUCCGAUGGCGCUCAACCUCUCGCAUCGCCGUGCUCCUCAGGGUCCGCUCGAGCGCGGGGGCCGCAGCUGCCUCCACUGCCGCUACCGCUGCUGGAGUUGCAAGCGGCGGCCGCAGGAUCCGCAGCCGCAACCGCGUCGGGCGCCCGCCGGCGACCGGCCGCUAGCCGUCGGCCCUUCCAUGUGCGGCCCGCCGCCCGCCGUCCACCUGCGUCCCGCUACUGCCUCCAAUGGUAGUGUCCCAAUGCGUUAGAGGGAGAGGGUAGCCGAGACGUCACCUGUGCGCUGCCGCUGCCGCUGCUGCUGCAUCCGCACCCGGCGCCCGCAGGCCCCCCUCUGCGUGCAAUCUGCUGCCCGCCGGCCAACACUCGCUGCCUACCUGCUUGCUUGUGCUACCAGUGCCACCAACGCUACCGUGCCACUGCGUGAGAGGGAGAGGGUUGCGCUGCAGCAGCGUAUCUCUUCAAGUCGAAGGCGCAGUGAUAGCAACAGAGGCCGGCUCCGCUUCCUAUCGCUCAUUCUGUGAUUUUUGUUGCUGCAGCCCUGUUCCUUUCAUUCUUCCACUUUUUCUGUCCUUUUCUCUUUGCAACAUUAUGUUACUGUUAUGUGUCUCCCCUUUUACCUAUAACAUUUCUAAAUUGUUUCAAAAAAAACUAUGAAGGAACGACAAAAAGCAAGGCAACAAAUCAGCUUUCCACAAGCAGGGAAGGUACUAGCCAGGUAUGUUUUCUCAAAUUCAAUCGUUAUAACAUGAAAUAUAUUUAGAAAAUAUAAUCUGUCUACUUCCUGUCAAUAGGAUGAAAUUUUAGAUCAUGAUUCUGAUUUAGAUGACACAAGGAAGAAAAAACAACUCAUUAGAAGGUGAUUCAUCACUUCACAUUGGAACCAAAAGAACAUUUACAAUGCCCUUUUGUACUAAUUCUAUAAGUACAAGGCAAAGGGGAAAUAAGAAGAUCAUCAUAUCUACAUUCUGUUAUAAAAAUGUGCACCAAAGCAUCAUUGGAGAAUCUGGAAUCCAAUCAUCACUACAUUUGCAUUGAAACCUACUUCUUGAAGUCAACCUGCAUUUCUAGAACCAAACCUGGUAAGCCUCAUCUUCUGAAAGUCAAUGCAUUAUUUGUCUAACCAUGGUAACAUUUGAAAUGAAAUUUAAACUCUGCUUCUGCAAGUCAAAGACUUCCUUUCCAAUGUUGACUAUUAUAAUAAUAAAGAAUGGCAACCAAGCUGACAAUUCCUUUCCGAUGUUCUUAUUCUCAUUUUGAUUUUCUUCUGUUUUGCUUCAUCUUUUAUUUGUUCUUUUAGUUACUCCUUGAUAAAAGACUUCCUUAAGUUCAAUUGUAGAACUCUGCUUCUGCAAGUCAUAUAGUUUUUGAGCAGGAAUGACACACACACUUCCAGAAGUAGGGAUGGCAGUACUCUUCUGCUUGAGUUCUUAACUGCUUUCUUGCUUAGUAUUUCCUUACAAAAUCUCAGCUAAUAAUGUAUAGAAAGGCUUUUUAUGUGAAAUGCAUAGGGAGGUAUGCCAUGAAUAUCUAUUGUCACUAGAACUUUCCUGCAUCCAGUAGUUUGAUCUGCCUAAAACUAUCUAUACGUAUGUAACUGAACUUCCAGUGCAAUGUAAAAAUGGUGAAUGUCGCUUACUUAUAACUACUCAUGUAAUAUAUGCGCACAUGUCCGUGCUAUGAAACCUCUCCAUAGCUUAA